UCAAAAACCCAACACCAAGGUUAAUGAGAAAAAAGUUUCAUUAAUUACAGAACUUUACAUAUUGUCAAGUUGCAGUAACUCAACUAUGAUAUUCCACUGCGAGGUAACUGAACUUACAACCCAUUCCCUCCAUCCAUCACUACCUACACAGUCGUUUGGAAGUCGUCUGAGGUGGCAAGACGGAGUCAUACGCGGCAGUGGACAGCGUCUUCAUAAGGCCAUGUAAGAGUCGAUUCAUUCCUAAACCUAAAUCGUCCCCCUGGAUCGAACCUUAAUCUCCCAACCCCCAUUGCGAUUGAAUCUGCAAGAAUACAAGGAACCCAAAUUUGAUUGGGUAAGAAAUUGAAAUCAGUUGUUUUGUUGGUGCAAGCUACCUUCAUUUGUCAUAUUUGUGGUUGAUUCAAUAACCAAUUUGAGGUCUGAACGUUAUUUUUCAUCUCUUCGAUGGCAGACAUUUUUAAUGCUUUACAAAUGCCAAAUUCUGAGGAUAAUUAGUAUGUGAUGAAGUGUAUAAUGAAAGUUCUUGGGGUUGGUGAUGUUGCUUUACUCUUGGAAUUGAAUUGGUUAAUUUUUUGAAAAUAUGUUCUUGUACCAUAUGCUUAGGCUUUUACUUUAGUAGCAUUUAGUUUACUCCUGAAUUUAAUUAUUAGUUGUUUUGGAGUCUUAAUGUAGCUAAAUACAUAUUGGUCUGAAAAGAAUGUUAAUUUAUAGCAGAUUAGAGGCAAGUCUUGGGCAGCUGUGCCCGUAAUAUGAAUCUCGUGAUUAAAUGAUUUUACAAAUUUAGGUCCUUUAUGCAGAGUAGAAACCUGCUGGUUAGUGUUAACAUCUAUUUUCUAAUAGAAUUUAUGCUCUACUAUUGUACGUGAAUAGGGAUAAGUGUUUCUAAAGAUUUAGAAAAUUAGAUAUAAUAAAUUGGGACAAUAAAUUCAUGAAGUCCAUCACGAUUUCUUGACCAGGAAAUGAUAAUUUGCACCCAUGGCAGCCCGAGAAGAAAUGAAAGAUGUUGCCAUCAAUUUUGCAUCACCACGGCCAACUCUUCUGUGGAAAACAUCAUCAUCAAAUGAGUAAAACACAGUUUUGAAAGAAGCACAAGAUGAGCCAAGGGAUAGUGCUCUACAAAGUUUUCUUGAAACCAAUAUUGAAGGAGCUGAUCUUUGAUUGGUGACUUACUAAUUGAUUGCAAAAGACUGGCUAUGCAAGGAAAGGCUGAUGAUUGUUUUGUUUAAAGACAAGAGUAAUGAAGGGUGCAUAUGUGUAUGUCUGUGGCACAUAUAAGAACAAUAGCCCUCUCUAUUAUUUUUAUGAAAAUAUGGCCUAUUAUUAGUUGUAUGAUAAAUGUUUUCUUUCUCAUUAUUUCCACAAAUGUGAAGUUGUUAAAAUGAAUCAUUAUUUCCUAUUUAUAUGACCAAUUCCUAGUAGCAAUACUGGAUCAUUGUUGUAAAUAAUGUCAAGGAUUCCUUAGUAAGACUAUGUUGUAUUGCAAG
RNAcentral lists this long non-coding RNA (1484 nucleotides) under Olea europaea (common olive). Its description in RNAcentral is "long non-coding RNA (OEUR_LNC001651)". Lineage: Eukaryota; Viridiplantae; Streptophyta; Magnoliopsida; Lamiales; Oleaceae. The record is from RNAcentral.